ACUCAAAUGAAUUGACGGGGGCCCGCACAAGCGGUGGAGCAUGUGGCUUAAUUCGAUGCAACGCGAAGAACCUUACCUGGCCUUGACAUGCUGGUAGUAGAAGCCGGAAACGGUGACGACUCCUCGCAAGAGGAGAGCCAGCACAGGUGCUGCAUGGUUGUCGUCAGCUCGUGUCGUGAGAUGUUGGCUUAAGUGCCGCAACGAGCGCAACCCCUGUGUUUAGUUGCCUGCGAAAGCGGGAUCUCUAAACAGACUGCCUCGCUUUAAACGAGGAGGAAGGUGGGGAUGACGUCAAAUCAGUAUGGCCCUUACGGCCAGGGCUGCACACGUGCUACAAUGCAUGGUACAGAGGGACGCAAGACCGCGAGGUGGAGCAAAUCCCAUAAAACCAUGCCCAGUUCAGAUUGAAGGCUGCAACUCGCCUUCAUGAAGCCGGAAUCGCUAGUAAUGGCGCAUCAGCUACGGCGCCGUGAAUACGUUCCCGGGCCUUGUACACACCGCCCGU
This 505-nucleotide ribosomal RNA is filed under the name uncultured bacterium. RNAcentral describes it as "partial 16S ribosomal RNA". It matches the Rfam family "Bacterial small subunit ribosomal RNA", at positions 899 to 1397 of the family's 1533-position model. The record is from RNAcentral.